Molecule: ribosomal RNA, 255 nt
Filed under: uncultured bacterium
Lineage: Bacteria
Description: partial 16S ribosomal RNA
Rfam family: Bacterial small subunit ribosomal RNA
Source: RNAcentral
GACAGAGGGUGCAAACGUUGUUCGGAAUUACUGGGCGUAAAGCGCGUGUAGGUGGCGAGGCAAGUCGGGUGUGAAAGCCCUGGGCUCAACCCAGGAAGUGCACUCGAUACUGCCUAGCUAGAGUCCCGGAGAGGUUGGUGGAACUCUCGGUGUAGAGGUGAAAUUCGUAGAUAUCGAGAAGAACACCGGUGGCGAAGGCCGGCCAACUGGACGGUGACUGACACUGAGACGCGAAAGCGUGGGGAGGCAAACAGG